UUGUUUGUUUGUUUGUGGGGGGGCAUUCAUUUUAGUUUGUUCUGCUUUGAUAUGUUAUUUUCACUUUCAGGUCUGGACUGUCUUCUUCAUUUUCUUUCACUGUUUGUAAUUUUAUACAUUUAAGGGAUUUAUUAACUUCCUCUUUAAAAAAUUCUAUCAUAUACAUGAAGGCUACAUUAGGUUCUUUGUCUUGUGCUUCAGGAAUGUGGCAGUUCUCAGGGACUACUAUGAUAAGAUUCCCUUGUCCUGGGUAUUAUUGAUUCUGUUUUUAGAGUGGUACCUGGGUUUGGGAAGAUUGUAGAUACCUGGUCUUGUCUUUGUUGCUUGGAUGUUUUGUUCCUUGAUUUCUGUUACCCUCUUUAGUUCCUAGGAAUGUAUAAAAUUUUUGGAUUCCUGAUAAUUGUGGCCACUGGAAUUUCCCUGUAAAAUGUGCUUUUAGAUACUGGGUACUGAUAUUUACUAAUGGGAAUUGUUGGGGCUUCUGACAAGGUCCACAGGAAAGAGGGAAGUAGAGUGUUCAACUAAGAUCUGGGAAUAGAAGUAGAGAGUGAGGAAAGGUUAAAAAAAGUAGUGGGUUGGAGAGUUGAGGAUGAGCUUGGGGAACUACAUAUGGCAGCUAUCAAAGAUCUGAAGCUUAUGUGCCUGCUUUGCUGACUUACUUUUGCUUCUCUUGCAGGCUUGACUGGUAGGUUUCUAUGGAAUGCCUGCUGGAUUCAGGGGCUGGGAUAUCAAUAUGACUGGGGAGGAAAGUUAGAGACGUUCUACAUGAUCAACUGGAGAUGGGGACACAGAGGAUAGUGAAGCUACAGAAGGUGGUUUGCCAACGAGUUGGUGAUGAAGCUGGGGGAUUGGAUGUAGAGAAGAUGAGGAAGAGUUAAAGAUCAGAAGUUAGGUUACUUGGUUUUCUGGCACAAGUUCCCAUAGGUUCCCAGGAAAUGCCAGCUGGAGAUGGGGGCUGGGAUAAGCUAUUUGUUGGUGGUGGUGCUAUGGUGGGGUGAUUUUUUUUGGAAUAAAGAUAUCUGUGAUCCACUGAAGGUAUAGGAGGAAGAAAAGUUGCAGCAGGUGGUCUGCUACAAAAGUAGAUAUAAGACUGGAGGGGUGGAUAUGGCAAAGAGGGAGAAGAGGUGAAAAUCUGGAGUUACCUGCUUUCCAGUUGGGAACUGGGAUAAUGGGAUGAGUUGGGGGAAGAAAGUUUGGAGGGAAGAUCUUUGUGAUCCACUGUAGUUAGGGGCAGAGAGGAGAGGCGGGUCAUAGCAGAUGGUCUGUUACAGAGCUGCAGAUGAGACUAGGGGGUUAAAUUUGGAGGAGAGGAGAGAAUGAUGAAGAUCUGCAGCUACACUACCUGCUUUCUUGGACAAGGUCCAAUGCAUUAAAAAAAUACUUUAUUCCAAAUUUAGGCUAGUUGACUAUAAAGCAGACGAAUCAAUUUUCCAAUAUAAUUACAUCUUCACCUUUUUUCCAUUUCAGGCUGUGAUUUCACACUUGUUAAUUAGUUAAUCAUUUUGGGAGAGUGGACAAGGUCUGAAAACUAUUCUUGUGGGUUGAUAUCCCAGGAACCAAGCAAAAACUAAUUCACAGAAUUUCUACAACAAUGUAUGCAAUAUAAAUUAUUACUGGCACAAUAUUCUGAUUAUCUACGAUGUCUAGGAAAGAGAUACAGAAUGUAUAUUCUUCCUAAAACCAUUAUUAAGACACGUCUGCCAUGAAGAACUGUGAAUCAAUGAAAGAUGAUGAUGAUAGUGAUGAUAAUGACGCCAGUAUAUUGGCAUGUUCUAGUACGCUUUAACUGUCAACUUGACAUGGGUUGAAGUCGCCUGAUCGGGAGUCUCGAUUUCAGUUCAGAAUUGCCUAUGGACAUUGUUGUGAUUCAGAUUCCAGACAAGCAACUGAGGUGCCUAUUCCACAUGUCCAAGUGGGCCUGGCCUCCAGGUUCUCCCAGAAUCCCUCAGGCUCUACCUUAACUUUCUAGCCCAGGGCCUAGGCCUUCUCUCCCCCUAGAGGCUAUUUACUUUAUAAUCCAGAUAUCUUGGUUUUGUCUUUCUUUCUAUCUGUCUGUUGUCUCUCUGUCCAUCUGUCCUCUCUCUCUCUCUCUCUCUCUCUCUCUCUCUCUCUCUCUCUCUCUCUCCCCUCUUUCUCUCUCUGCUGUCUGAUUUUCUGUCUCCCAGUCUGCACAGUAACUUCCCUAACGUCCUCCUGUGAGAUAUCUGAACCCACCCGAGAGCUGUUUCCAAUUAAACCUGCCUUUAUAUACUUUGAAUUGGCUCAUUUCAUUGGCAGAGAAUACUUAUCAGGCAUAACCACGGGUGACAGUCAUGACUGUUAAUUUAUGUAGGAGGUCCAAGCCUACUGUCGGUGGCACCAGUCCCUGGGUAGACGGUCUCCUGAGUUGCAUAAGAAAGCUAGCUAAGUGUUUCUAAUUUAGUAUUUUUGUAGGGUUUUGUGAAUGUAUAAGUUUUGUGUUUUGUUUAUUCAUUUUUUCUUUGGUUGUUUUGUUUUGCUUGAUUGUUUUCUAAAGAGUAGCUUUGGAUGGAGUUAUUUCCAAUUCUUUGCAUUUGCAAAUAGAACAAUCAUGAACAUUUAGAAACCAUUGGACAUUGCUUUAGUCUCUCUGUUACUAAAUAAAGAAGGAUAGACUUAA
Long non-coding RNA from Meriones unguiculatus (Mongolian gerbil), 2638 nucleotides. RefSeq lists it as uncharacterized. Lineage: Eukaryota; Metazoa; Chordata; Mammalia; Rodentia; Muridae. The record is from RefSeq and is a predicted model, not a curated record. The transcript has 2 exons.